Molecule: ribosomal RNA, 301 nt
Filed under: uncultured bacterium
Lineage: Bacteria
Description: partial 16S ribosomal RNA
Rfam family: Bacterial small subunit ribosomal RNA
Source: RNAcentral
CAGUAGCCGCGGUAAUACGAAGGGUGCAAGCGUUACUCGGAAUUACUGGGCGUAAAGCGUGAGUAGGUGGUUGUUUAAGUUUGUCGUGAAAGCCCUGGGCUCAACCUGGGAAUUGCGAUGGAUACUGGGCGACUAGAGUGCGGUAGAGGAUAGUGGAAUUUCCGGUGUAGCAGUGAAAUGCGUAGAGAUCGGAAGGAACAUCUGUGGCGAAGGCGACUAUCUGGGCCAACACUGUCACUGAGACACGAAAGCGUGGGGAGCAAACAGGAUUAGAUACCCCCGUAGUCCCUGUCUCUUAUAA